Molecule: unclassified non-coding RNA, 2121 nt
Filed under: Actinia tenebrosa (Australian red waratah sea anemone)
Lineage: Eukaryota; Metazoa; Cnidaria; Anthozoa; Actiniaria; Actiniidae
Description: uncharacterized LOC116287432, transcript variant X1
Source: RNAcentral
CGUACAAUUGCCCUCAAAAAUAGGUCAUGACCGUGUGGAAGAAUGAGUACGAGCUCCAAACAAUGUAAUUGUUUUAAUCGCGACAUGAUUGGUUGAAAUCCCAAAACUUCCGGUUAUAUCUAGNGUGUCUCAAAAUUCAUGAUGGCGGCUAAGUUGGCUAAACGUGAAGAAGGAUUUUAUAAACGACUCCAUUCGUUUUCAACGGCGGACGAAUGGAGCGAAAAACAGUUAAAGGCUAGAAAAAAGCUUAAAACGCAGGGGGUUUANAAGGUGGAGGAAAUAUUGGCCGUCAGGCAGAAAAAGAACAUUUGAAAAACCAAACCCUGAACCUAAAACUGUGCUAGCCCAUGUCGAGUUGAUAAGAAAUGCAAUUGAUGGUGGCUUGACAGACUCUCUUCAGUCCGAUACCACCAUCAUUUUCAACCAUGCUGUUUUCAGGCACAUUUUUGGUGGAAGGGGGAAAGUCUGUUCAAAAGAGACAUAUGCACUAAGUGCUCAAGACUUUCCAAGGAGAUACUUUCCCCUAGGAUGGGAUAUGACUUAUAGAAGACGUGGGACAGUUCGAAAAAUUACUUAUCCUAUUCAACUUCAUCCUUUCCUUUCACGAUCACGCCAAAUGUACAACAAGGAUGGUUCAAAAAAAGAAAGAAGAUGGAUACAGAAGAUAACAAUAAGUUUUAGAAAACAUAACAUGUAGAUGUUAUAAACUCUGCAGGACAGAGUAAUAAAUAUGUAGUGUUUGUACUCAAUUUCAACAUAAUUUGUUUAUAAAAUGUUCAGUUACUGUUGGGAUUGUUUUGUUAAAAUUGUGUCAAUAAGAAUAUUUCUGCGUGUUCUCUUGUUCAGUCUCUCCCCAGUUAGCUGACACACUACAUCUCUAAGCUGUGAGUUUAGCAUUUUUUUAAAAGAAUCUUCAGUAUGUACUUCUGCAGUUGUGGAAAUGGUUGGAGNUAUAUUCUCUGUUUCAACUUCUGCCAGCACUGGUUGAGAAAUUCUUUUGUAUUUUCCUGCUACUAACAGUUUGCCACCUUGAUCCCAAANCNUNUUAUCGAGCUUNUGGUAAGGCCUCUUUUGUCUUGUGCUUGUUUGCAGACUUUCUUGUCUCUUAUCAAUAAGCAAAAGGGACUUGCAAGCAUCCCAUCUGUUGAUAGACCUAUGGAAUGCUUUCCUCAUUACAUCAUUUUUUUUCUCUACACCUUAAAUUUAUAAAGAGAUGAUAACUUGGGUUAAACUAGUGUGGGCUGCAUUGUUGUUUCUAUGGAAGCAGGAGUAAUAAAAUAAAAUGUGUACAUCUUUUGCACACAUUACUUUUUGUUAUUUCACACAAAUUUACAGUAUAUAAAAUGUAGAAAUCCAAUAUGAAUAAUUGUAAUUAAAUAAUUUUAAAUAAUUAAUUAUUCAUUUGUUUACCAUACCUUGCCCUGUAAAAAUUUUAAGNCUACAAUACUCCUCAAGUAGUUUNGGCAUGUGGUACACCAUGAUAUGUAUAUAAGGUGUGAUGGGGUUCAUCCAGUUAUAGCCUUCACUUUUCAUGCUAAGGAGAAGCUUGGCCCAUUCAUUUGCCUGACAAUGAAAAUUUUAUAUAAUAUACUGUAAGAUUGCUUGUAGCAAUACAUGUAGGUCUAAUAGAGAUACAACCAUUGAGAAAACUGAUAUACAGUGGUUGACAGUACUUUAAAGUAUUNUGGCCAUUUUAAAAAAUGAGAAUAAUAUAACUAAAUAUUCUUUUACCUUUGUGUGAAAGGUAUUGAUGUCUUCUGUAGUGGGAGAUAGGUUAGUCAUCACAUCAUAAAGUGCGGCAAAAUCCUGUAACAAAAUGUGGUAGAUUUAAGCUCAAAAUCAUUAAUAUGGCUAUUUAAUGUAUCCACAUACUUCACACUCAUGUUUUUUAAUAUACAUGCUUUACCUUAUUUUUUCUUAAAAGAAAGACCUAUUACAACUAAAUGAUAAGUACCUUCCAAAGCUUUGUGACUGAUGUUAAUAUUUUUGGGUGCACAAAUGAAGAAAACUUUGAGGGCAGAUUCCUCAACAAUUUCUUUUUGUCAUCACCCAUUAGCGAAGUCCAAUCCAGCUUAUUGUCUUUGUCAUACCAUAUCUAAAGUAAAGUAGCAAUACAUUUUA